RNAcentral lists this long non-coding RNA (453 nucleotides) under Musa acuminata (dwarf banana). RNAcentral's name for it is "long non-coding RNA (MACU_LNC007268)". The record is from RNAcentral. Lineage: Eukaryota; Viridiplantae; Streptophyta; Magnoliopsida; Zingiberales; Musaceae.
UGUAUUCCUUCUCUUUUGAUAAGCAAUAGAUGAAUCUUUUAUGCAGCCUUUGAGCAGCAACUUGGAGGGAGGAACCCCUAUAGAGUUCCAAGGAGGCCGAUCCCCUAAAGAGAUCAACCCCAAGUUUAGAAUCUGCAAGGGUUCUAACACCUGGUAUCAGAGCAGUGUUCUUGGCGUCUCGCUGCCCUUCCACAGCCAUCCAUCAACCCUCCACAACGAUACAAAGCAAUUCCCACAAUUGCUUAAAAGUCAUCGCCGAAUUCCGCCAUCAUCUCCACCACCACGGAUCAUCCUUUGAUCUCCCCGUGAAUUGCAACAGGUUCUGGUUUUCUACCUUACUGCUGCUGCAAUUUAGUUAUCCUUAUUUGAAAAUCCCAAAAAAAUUAUUCCUAUAUUGCUGCAUAAACUUUUCGUCAUAAAGUUUUCAUCUCUACGACGAAAUAUACAUUGCAG